RNAcentral lists this unclassified non-coding RNA (237 nucleotides) under plant metagenome. RNAcentral describes it as "partial contains small subunit ribosomal RNA, internal transcribed spacer 1, and 5.8S ribosomal RNA". The record is from RNAcentral.
UUUCCGUAGGUGAACCUGCGGAAGGAUCAUUACUGAGAGCUAAGUGUAGUAGUCUCAGCUAUUACUCUGCACACUCCACCCUUUGUUUAUAUUACCGUUGUUGCUUUAGCAGGCCCGCUCUCCAGCCGCCGGCACCUGCUGGCUAGUGCCUGCUAAAGAACCUAAAACUCUUGUUAAUAAUAUUGUCUGAGUACUAUUUAAUAGUUAAAACUUUCAACAACGGAUCUCUUGGUUCUG